RNAcentral lists this ribosomal RNA (293 nucleotides) under uncultured bacterium. Its description in RNAcentral is "partial 16S ribosomal RNA". It matches the Rfam family "Bacterial small subunit ribosomal RNA", at positions 504 to 796 of the family's 1533-position model. The record is from RNAcentral.
UGUGCCAGCAGCCGCGGUAAUACGGAGGGUCCAAGCGUUAUCCGGAUUCACUGGGUUUAAAGGGUGCGCAGGCGGACAAGUAAGUCAGUGGUGAAAGCCUUCGGCUCAACCGGAGAAUUGCCAUUGAAACUACUUGGCUUGAGUGCAGCAGAGGUAGGCGGAAUGUAGCAUGUAGCGGUGAAAUGCAUAGAUAUGCUACAGAACACCGAUAGCGAAAGCAGCUUACCACACUGUAACUGACGCUGAGGCACGAAAGCAUGGGUAGCAAACAGGAUUAGAAACCCCUGUAGUCC